Molecule: long non-coding RNA, 2457 nt
Organism: Oncorhynchus tshawytscha (Chinook salmon)
Lineage: Eukaryota; Metazoa; Chordata; Actinopteri; Salmoniformes; Salmonidae
Source: Ensembl
CCCCUCCAGCCAACGUGUCUUCACAGCUAAGGAAGAAUUCUUCACUUCUCUCAUUGACUUCUCAAACUCCAAACCACGGCCUGGUCCGCUUGGUCUGUUUCACAAGCGUUCCAGGAAGUCUCUGAUGUUGCACAUCUGGGUUCAGAAACUCUGUGAUUUUUAUGUUACUGUUUUUUUGCCAAAGUAUAUUUACGGUACUUCGAUACGAUUUAGUUUUUCAGUUUAUAUUUCUUUAUUUGUGUGUUUAAAAAAAACAAACAUCUGUUUUGUAUUUAUUACAAUUUUUUAUUUUUACUCCAAAGUAUUGUGUAUUAACUUGCCCGCGGUGUUGGGUAAUACUGAACGUUCAGACAUCGUGGGCGGCAGGUAGCCUCGUGGUUCGAUCGUUGGGCCACUUGUUGAAUAUAUUCAGUCGUUCUCCAAAUCCUGAAGCUACUUUACCUUGAUAUAUGCAUGCUGAAUUUGGAUUUACAUUUGGGAUUUUGUUUGUUGCACCAAAACUCCCUGUACUGUGUACUUUAUAACUGAGCUUCAUGUCCAGUUUUUCAUAACUCUCUCAUUGCCACAAAUUAUAUAAUAAUAAUAAUUAUAAGAUACUUUUAAAAAAAUAUACAAAAAAUUUAAAUGACUUUAAACUUUUAUUUAUACUCAUUAAUUUCCCAAUACUUCCAAACAUGUUGUUGAACUGUAUUGUAAAAUAUGAUAUAUAUAUAUAUAUUAUAUAUAUAUAAUAUAUAUUAUGUGUGUUACAGGUAAAAGGGCAUAAGAAUAGAGGUACUCAAUCAUUCAAAGACACCUACUGUGUGCCUGUGUGUGAAGAUCAGGAAUCUGCAACGUUUGGGUAUUUUUACCAACUAUCUUUACUGCAAUAUACAUAGUUUAAAAUAAUAAUAAUAAUAAUAAUAAUAAUAAUAAUAAUAAUAAUAAUAAUAAUAAUAAUAAUAAUAAUAAUCUUUCCUUGAAAUCUACAGGAACUUGAUAGACCAUUUUCUUAAAUAAUGAAACAUACAAACAUGUCACAGACAUUAUGUGAGUGUCAUUAACAUGUACAAAAGGGUUAUUUUGAUUUCGAUGGGAGACGUGUAAACAAUGUGAACAGCUCUGUGUAGGGAGUAGGGAGGUGUUUCACCCUAGGUCUCUGUGUAGGGAGUAGGGAGGUGUUUCACCCUAGGUCUCUGUGUAGGGAGUAGGGAGGUGUUUCACCCUAGGUCUCUGUGUAGGGACUAGGGAGGUGUUUCACCCUAGGUCUCUGUGUAGGGAGUAGGGAGGUGUUUCACCCUAGGUCUCUGUGUAGGGAUGUGUUUCACCCUAGGUCUCUGUGUAGGGAGUAGGGAGGUGUUUCACCCUAGGUCUCUGUGUAGAGAAUAGGGAGCUGUUUCACCCUAGGUCUCUGUGUAGGGAGCUGUUUCACCCUCGGUCUCUGUGUAGGGAGCCGUUUCACCCUAGGUCUCUGUGUAGGGAGUAGGGAGCCGUUUCACCCUAGGUCUCUGUGUAGGGAGUAAGGAGCUGUUUCACCCUAGGUCUCUGUGUAGGGAGUAGGGAGCCGUUUCACCCUAGGUCUCUGUGUAGGGUGCUGUUUCACCCUAGGUCUCUGUGUAGGGAGUAGGGAGCCGUUUCACCCUAGGUCUCUGUGUAGGGAGCUGUUUCACCCUAGGUCUCUGUGUAGGGAGCUGUUUCACCCUAGGUCUCUGUGUAGGGACUAGGGAGGUGUUUCACCCUCGGUCUCUGUGUAGGGAGUAGGGAGCCGUUUCACCCUAGGUCUCUGUUGAGGAAAACGUCAUUUGAAUCAUCAGUACGGUAAGGGGAUCUUGUUAUAGUGAAACAGACGGAAACGGCCCGGACAAAAUAAAUAACAACAACAAAACAUUGCAAAUGAAGUUUUUUGAAAUAAAUGAUCGUCUGGCUAAGCCAAACAUUCUACGACAUAAUGUUUUCCUCUUUUUCAUGAAUUCUAAAACUUUGUAUGUUUUAUUGUCAACAGGAAUGAGUAUUAAUGUAAUUAUUAUUAUUAUUAUGAUUAUUGUCAUGGCUAUUACUAAUAUUAGUGGCAGGCCACUGGGUAACAUUGUAUGUUGAUAUCCAAAUGAUAAUGAUGAAAUGUUUAUGAGUUUUAAAAACAAAUAAAAAGAUAAGACCACCAGGACUGUGUCAUUGUUCUGUUAAACACUGAGAUUAUUGAUAGUUCAUCUAAAUCAAUUAUUCAUCUAAUCAAUCAAUUAAAAUCAACAUGACACCUUUAUGUGGGGCGGCAGGUAGCCUAGUGGUUAGAGUGUUGGACUAGUAACUGAAAAGGUUGCAAGAUCGAAUCCCUGAGCUGACAAGGUAAAAAUCUGCCAUUCUGCCCCUGAACAAGGCAGUUAACCCCACUGUUCCCUGGUAGGCUGUUAUUGUUAAUAAGAAUUUGUUCUUAACUGACUUGCCUAGUUAAAUAAAGGUAGAAUACAAAAAAGAUCAACG